GGUAAUACCGAAUACGUUGGCAAAACCAUGGUUUUGCCAGGAAAGGGGCUACGGCCCCGCCUUGAGAUGGGCCCGCGUCCCAUUAGCUAGUUGGUAGAGUAAAGGUUUACCAAGGCGAAGAUGGGUAGCCGGCCUGAGAGGGUGAACGGCCACACUGGGACUGAGAUACGGCCCAGACUCCUACGGGAGGCAGCAGCUAAGAAUAUUCCGCAAUGGACGAAAGUCUGACGGAGCGACGCCGCGUGGAUGAGGAAGGCCGAAAGGUUGUAAAAUCCUUUUGCCGAUGAAGAAUAAGCACAUUAGGGAAUGAUUGUGUGAUGACGUUAGUCGGCGAAUAAGCCCCGGCUAAUUACGUGCCAGCAGCCGCGGUAACACGUAAGGGGCGAGCGUUGUUCGGAAUUAUUGGGCGUAAAGGGCGCGUAGGCGGCCAUGUAAGUCUGAUGUGAAAACCCUGGGCUUAACCCAGGAACUGCAUUGGAAACUGCAAGGCUUGGGUCACAGAGGGGGAAUCGGAAUUCCUGGUGUAGGGGUGAAAUCUGUAGAUAU
Molecule: ribosomal RNA, 546 nt
Filed under: uncultured bacterium
Lineage: Bacteria
Description: bacterial SSU rRNA
Rfam family: Bacterial small subunit ribosomal RNA
Source: RNAcentral